This 198-nucleotide ribosomal RNA is filed under the name Escherichia coli. Its description in RNAcentral is "partial 16S ribosomal RNA". It matches the Rfam family "Bacterial small subunit ribosomal RNA", at positions 1 to 206 of the family's 1533-position model. The record is from RNAcentral. Lineage: Bacteria; Pseudomonadati; Pseudomonadota; Gammaproteobacteria; Enterobacterales; Enterobacteriaceae.
AAAUUGAAGAGUUUGAUCAUGGCUCAGAUUGAACGCUGGCGGCAGGCCUAACACAUGCAAGUCGAACGGUAACAGGAAGCAGCUUGCUGCUUUGCUGACGAGUGGCGGACGGGUGAGUAAUGUCUGGGAAACUGCCCGAUGGAGGGGGAUAACUACUGGAAACGGUAGCUAAUACCGCAUAACGUCGCAAGACCAAAG